UACGGGGGGGGCAAGCGUUGUUCGGAAUUACUGGGCGUAAAGGGCUCGUAGGCGGCCAACUAAGUCAUACGUGAAAUCCCUCGGCUUAACCGGGGAACUGCGUCUGAUACUGGAUGGCUUGAGUUUGGGAGAGGGAUGCGGAAUUCCAGGUGUAGCGGUGAAAUGCGUAGAUAUCUGGAGGAACACCGGUGGCGAAGGCGGCAUCCUGGACCAACACUGACGCUGAGGAGCGAAAGCCAGGGGAGCAAACGGG
This 253-nucleotide ribosomal RNA is filed under the name uncultured bacterium. RNAcentral describes it as "partial 16S ribosomal RNA". It matches the Rfam family "Bacterial small subunit ribosomal RNA", at positions 524 to 776 of the family's 1533-position model. The record is from RNAcentral.